This 357-nucleotide ribosomal RNA is filed under the name Oncaea zernovi. RNAcentral describes it as "partial 28S ribosomal RNA". The record is from RNAcentral. Lineage: Eukaryota; Metazoa; Arthropoda; Copepoda; Poecilostomatoida; Oncaeidae.
GAGAGUUCAAGAGUACGUGAAACUGUAUAGUGGUAAACGGAGGAGUUUCUCGAAGUCUUAAUCGGAGGUUCAGGUUGACGGUGAUUCAGCUGAUGUGUUAGAGUGUCGCAAGAUCUCUGCAUGUCGGUUAGUUUUACUGGCGGCUGCACUUCUCCGAUUAUUCACACGACGAACCGCUAGCGGCAGACCGAAGACAUGGGUGAAGUUCGUUCCUUGUGUUCGAGCCCUGUGUUCUUGGCUUUGCAGCUGGCGGGUAUCUGAGCUGUCAUGUAUAGCAUGUGACCAUGUUGUCACGCACAGCAUCUCUGUCGUGAGUAGGUUGGCGGCUCCUCCGACCCGUCUUGAAACACGGACCAU